Molecule: non-coding RNA, 19 nt
Filed under: Arabidopsis thaliana (thale cress)
Lineage: Eukaryota; Viridiplantae; Streptophyta; Magnoliopsida; Brassicales; Brassicaceae
Source: RNAcentral
UGGACGUGAUGAUACUCGA